AUCCGUCUGAUGAGUGACAAACAAGACGAAGCGCGCGUCUUGGAU
Molecule: non-coding RNA, 45 nt
Organism: Schistosoma mansoni
Lineage: Eukaryota; Metazoa; Platyhelminthes; Trematoda; Strigeidida; Schistosomatidae
Source: Rfam